UAGUCCACGCCCUAAACGAUGCGCACUAGUUGUUGCUAUGCUAGACAUAGCAGUAAUGCAGUUAACACAGUAAGUGUGCCGCCUGGGGAGUACGGUCGCAAGAUUAAAACUCAAAGGAAUAGACGGGGACCCGCACAAGCGGUGGAGCAUGUGGUUUAAUUCGACGAUACGCGAAGAACCUUACCUGGCCUUGACAUAGAUAGAACUUACUAGAGAUAGUUUGGUGCUAGUUUACUAGAGCUAUCAUACAGGUGCUGCACGGCUGUCGUCAGCUCGUGUCGUGAGAUGUUGGGUUAAGUCCCGCAACGAGCGCAACCCUCGUGUUUAGUUACUAACAGUUCGGCUGAGGACUCUAGACAGACUGCCUGGGUAACCAGGAGGAAGGUGAGGACGACGUCAAGUCAUCAUGGCCCUUACGGCCAGGGCUACACACGUGCUACAAUGGGGUAUACAAAGAGCAGCGAUACCGCGAGGUGGAGCAAAUCUCAUAAAAUAUCUCCCAGUUCGGAUAGUAGUCUGCAACUCGACUACUUGAAGUUGGAAUCGCUAGUAAUCGUAGAUCAGCAAUGCUACGGUGAAUACGUUCCCGGGUCUUGUACUCACCGCCCGUCACACCAUGGGAAUUGAAUUCAUUCGAAGCGGGGAUGCUAAAAUAGCUACCUUCCACAGUGGAUUUAGUAACUAGGGUGAAGUCGUAACAAGGUAACC
Molecule: ribosomal RNA, 708 nt
Filed under: uncultured bacterium
Lineage: Bacteria
Description: bacterial SSU rRNA
Rfam family: Bacterial small subunit ribosomal RNA
Source: RNAcentral